GAUGAACGCUGGCGGCGUGCCUAGUACAUGCAAGUCGAGCGAACGGACGAGAAGCUUGCUUCUCUGAUGUUAGCGGCGGACGGGUGAGUAACACGUGGAUAACCUACCUAUAAGACUGGGAUAACUUCGGGAAACCGUAGCUAAUACCGGAUAAUAUUUUGAACCGCAUGGUUCAAAAGUGAAAGACGGUCUUGCUGUCACUUAUAGAUGGAUCCGCGCUGCAUUAGCUAGUUGGUAAGGUAACGGCUUACCAAGGCAACGAUGCAUAGCCGACCUGAGAGGGUGAUCGGCCACACUGGAACUGAGACACGGUCCAGCCUCCUACGGGAGGCAGCAGUAGGGAAUCUUCCGCAAUGGGCGAAAGCCUGACGGAGCAACGCCGCGUGAGUGAUGAAGGUCUUCGGAUCGUAAAACUCUGUUAUUAGGGAAGAACAUAUGUGUAAGUAACUGUGCACAUCUUGACGGUACCUAAUCAGAAAGCCACGGCUAACUACGUG
This 497-nucleotide ribosomal RNA is filed under the name uncultured bacterium. RNAcentral describes it as "partial 16S ribosomal RNA". It matches the Rfam family "Bacterial small subunit ribosomal RNA", at positions 28 to 507 of the family's 1533-position model. The record is from RNAcentral.